UGAUGCAGCAACGCCGCGUGAGGGACGACGGCCUUCGGGUUGUAAACCUCUUUUAGCAAGGAAGAAGCGAAAGUGACGGUACUUGCAGAAAAAGCGCCGGCUAACUACGUGCCAGCAGCCGCGGUAAUACGUAGGGCGCAAGCGUUAUCCGGAAUUAUUGGGCGUAAAGAGCUCGUAGGCGGUUUGUCGCGUCUGCUGUGAAAACCCGAGGCUCAACCUCGGGCCUGCAGUGGGUACGGGCAGACUAGAGUGCGGUAGGGGAGAUUGGAAUUCCUGGUGUAGCGGUGGAAUGCGCAGAUAUCAGGAGGAACACCGAUGGCGAAGGCAGAUCUCUGGGCCGUAACUGACGCUGAGGAGCGAAAGGGUGGGGAGCAAACAGGCUUAGAUACCCUGGUAGUCCACCCCGUAAACGUUGGGAACUAGUUGUGGGGUCCAUUCCACGGAUUCCGUGACGCAGCUAACGCAUUAAGUUCCCCGCCUGGGGAGUACGGCCGCAAGGCUAAAACUCAAAGGAAUUGACGGGGACCCGCACAAGCGGCGGAGCAUGCGGAUUAAUUCGAUGCAACGCGAAGAACCUUACCAAGGCUUGACAUAUACGAGAACGCUGCAGAAAUGUAGAACUCUU
This 625-nucleotide ribosomal RNA is filed under the name Microbacterium sp. So2Pw_1256. RNAcentral describes it as "bacterial SSU rRNA". It matches the Rfam family "Bacterial small subunit ribosomal RNA", at positions 384 to 1018 of the family's 1533-position model. The record is from RNAcentral. Lineage: Bacteria; Bacillati; Actinomycetota; Actinomycetes; Micrococcales; Microbacteriaceae.